This 490-nucleotide ribosomal RNA is filed under the name uncultured bacterium. RNAcentral's name for it is "partial 16S ribosomal RNA". It matches the Rfam family "Bacterial small subunit ribosomal RNA", at positions 30 to 507 of the family's 1533-position model. The record is from RNAcentral.
AUUGAACGCUGGCGGCAGGCCUAACACAUGCAAGUCGAACGGUAACAGGAAGCAGCUUGCCGCUUUGCUGACGCGUGGCGGACGGGUGUGACAUGUCUGUGACACUGCUUGAUGGAGGGGGAUAACUCCUGGAAACGGUAGCUAAUACCGCAUAUCUUCUCAACACCAAAGAGGGAGACCUUCGGGCCUCUUUCCAUCGGCUUUGCCCAGAUGGGAUUAGCUAGUAGGUGGGGUAACGGCUCACCUAGGCGACGAUCCCUAGCUGGUCUGAGAGGUUGACCAGCCACACUGGAACUGAGACACGGUCCAGACUCCUACGGGAGGCAGCAGUGGGGAAUAUUGCGCAAUGGGCGCAAGCCUGAUGGAGCAAUGCCGCGUGUAUGAAGAAGGCCUUCGGGUUGUAAAGUUCUUUUAGCGGGGAGGAAGAGAGUAAAGUGAAUACCUGCACUUAUUGACGGUACCCGCAGAGGAAGCACCGGCUAACUCCGUG